AGUAGAGACGUCACGCAAGGAAAGGAGACACAGACACGCAGCGGUCCCACAAAUAUGUAUGUGUGCCCUGUGUGAGCCUGGUGCCUGUGGAGGUCAGAAAUGGGCAUCAUAUCCCCUAAACUGGCGUUAGGGAUGGAUAGCUGUGAACCACCAUCUGGAUUCUAGAAACCAAAAUUGGGUGCUCUGAAAACUACCAAGGCUACACCCAUCUUGACCGAGAGAAGCCUCCUUUUGCAAUGAGCUGUGGUUAAUGCAGACUCGUGACUUCUCGGGGUGCUGAGAGUUGAGUGGGAAGCCCUAACCAAGACAUCUAUACCAUCCACCUAAGGCUCAGGAAACAUUGAAGAAAAGGGGCAGGACAAAUGUUAGAAUAUUGUUUUAUACUGAAGAUGAACAAUUGAAAAUCAAAUCUGCUGUAUGGUCAUUUAUUGCGAAGUUACAUGCAAGAUGUGUCUUACCUCAGAAGACAAGUCUUGGACCACAACCAGUCAAUUCUGUCCGGCAGUCUCGUGGCCUGUCCACCUCCAGCUGCCCUUCACAGCAGCUGGGAUUUCUUCAAUGUACCAGUUCUUCCUCAGGGGCUAGUAUAACCACUUCCUGCACCCAUACCACCUCCUUAUCUAACGUUUUCCCUUUUUUAGAAGAAUAUUUAUUCCUUGUUAGCCCUGGAUUUCUCUCAAAGAGCGAGUCAUGUGUGUGGGAGAAGUGCCCUGAGCUGGCUAGGUGUCCUGGGAGACAAGGGGGAAGACUCUGCCUACCUUCUUCCUGUGGGAACAGCCUGAGACAUGGGCUGAGACAUGGGUCCAAGAUGCCUGCCACCUUCAGUGUUUGCCAUCAUGCUGUGGGGCUUGCAGUGGUUGCUUCUAUAUCCCGCUGACCAAAAUACCUAACAGAAACAACUGGAGGGAGGGGAGAUUUAAGUUGACUCACAGUUUCGGGGUGAGUCCGUGGAUUCUUGGCCUCACACUCUUGACAGAGCAUCGUGGCAGCAAGAACACAUGACAGAGGCUGUUUUUCCCUUCUUGGCAGACAAGAGGCAGAGACAAGUAUGGAUACAGAGAAGGUCAGGAUGAGCUCCAACUCCUAAGGACAAUGACUUCCUAAGGUCAAUUACCUACCUCCUCCAAACAGGCCUCACCUGCGACCUUUGAGCACCUCCAUAACAGAUGAAUGCAUCUGUGAAAUCAGAGCCUUCGAAAUCUAAUUGGCUCCCGAGAAGCCAUCAAGACACACUCAGGGGUGUGUUUCACUAAUCCCCCAGGUGUUUCUUAAUCCAGGCAAAUUGAGAAUCAAAAUUAAUGCUCAUAUUACCACUCAGAAAUCUACCUUUUUGGAAGUUAAUCUAAGAAGUUACAUUCUAAGGAUGGGCUAUCCAUGCCGUGGUUGCUGCUA
Molecule: long non-coding RNA, 1392 nt
Organism: Microtus oregoni (creeping vole)
Lineage: Eukaryota; Metazoa; Chordata; Mammalia; Rodentia; Cricetidae
Exons: 4
Source: RefSeq, a predicted model, not a curated record